Herpailurus yagouaroundi (jaguarundi) is the source of this 336-nucleotide long non-coding RNA. RefSeq lists it as uncharacterized. Lineage: Eukaryota; Metazoa; Chordata; Mammalia; Carnivora; Felidae. The transcript is spliced from 3 exons. The record is from RefSeq and is a predicted model, not a curated record.
CAGAACUUGAUCCCGAAAGCUAAAACUGGCGAGACUGCUAAUGGGCACCAUUUAUGCAAACGAAACAACAACAGAGGUUCUUGUGUCUGUUGUCCGCACUCCCUCUAAUUCCUGAUUGGCCCUGACGCUUCCCCAUAUGGCACCACGUGGUAUACCAUACCUCCUGUUUCUAAGGAACUGAGUUGAAUUUGGCUGUGUGUAGUAUUUUGUUUUAGUUCUCAUUCCACCUCUAAAUAACUGCCCGGGUGGGCGUCGGAAGGAAGCCCCUCUACAGAGGAUUGAGGGAGCUGAGAAACACACAGCUACCCAUUCAUCCCCACUCCACAUAGAAGAUGA